RNAcentral lists this ribosomal RNA (872 nucleotides) under uncultured bacterium. Its description in RNAcentral is "bacterial SSU rRNA". It matches the Rfam family "Bacterial small subunit ribosomal RNA", at positions 555 to 1441 of the family's 1533-position model. The record is from RNAcentral.
UGGGCGUAAAGGGUGCGCAGCAGCAUGUCAAGUCUGAAGUGAAAGGUACCAGCUUACUGGUACAGGCUAGGAAACUGGCAUGCUAGAGACAGGAGAGGGCGGUGAACUCCAUGUGUAGCGGUAAAAUGCGUAGAUAUAUGGAAGAACACCAGUGGCGAAGGCGGCCGCCUGGACUGUUACUGACGCUCAGGCACGAAAGCGUGGGGAGCAAAUAGGAUUAGAUACCCUAGUAGUCCACGCCCUAAACGAUGAGGAGCAGGUGUCGGGGGCAGAGCCUCGGUGCCGAAGCCAACGCAGUGACUCCUCCGCCUGGGGAGUAUGCACGCAAGUGUGAAACUCAAAGGAAUUGACGGGGGCCCGCACAAGCGGUGGAGUAUGUGGUUUAAUUCGAAGCAACGCGAAGAACCUUACCAGGCCUUGACAUGGGAUGCGAAGGUGCAGAGAUGUACUGGAGGUUAUCAUCCACACAGGUAGAAAAAAAGUUGUCGUCAGCUCGUGUCGUGAGAUGUUCAGUUAAGUCUGGCAACGAGCGCAACCCUCGUGAUAUGUUGCUAACAUUCAGUUGAGGACUCAUAUCAGACUGCCGGUACAAACCGGAGGAAGGUGGGGAUGACGUCAAAUCAUCAUGCCCCUUAUGGCCUGGGCUACACACGUACUACAAUGGCAUCUACAAAGGGGAGCGAACCUGUGAAGGGAAGCGAACCCCAGAAAAGAUGUCCCAGUUCGGAUUGAAGUCUGCAACCCGACUUCAUGAAGUUGGAAUCGCUAGUAAUCGCGGAUCAGCAUGCCGCGGUGAAUACGUUCCCGGGCCUUGUACACCCCCCCCCUCACACCAUGGGAGUCGGUAACACCCGAAGCCGAUAGUCUAACGA